UUUCCUCUCGGUGUCAGCCUUUCUCCACGUAUAAGAUCACAGCUCCUCCAAAUGCUAAAAACACAGCUCCAUCUCACAGACAAUCCCAACCAUCACAUUCACACUCGAAGCCUCCCUCCGAGGCUCUCCCACCGGACGAUCGGAUUCUGCUCAAUCUUAUCACCGAAGAAACGUUCAUCAAUCUUCUCCUCACGUAUGCCCCCACUCAUGCCCCGACUCUCUUUUUGUGUGCCGUCGGGGUACUGCAAGUCUGCAACCCAAUGCCCCGACUCGUGGGGCUGCAAUAGUGAGCUCAGCGAAGGCUACGAGAUUUUUGCGAAGAGUCCUGCAGAUAGAAGGAAAAAAAAGCUAUUAAUCCUGCCUUGGAAUGGGCUGUUUUGGGAAAAAGGAGAAGUCCAAAAGAAACAGUUCCAAUAGGCAAAAACUGAAGGUACAAUAUAUCGGUGGGCGAAAAUCUUUUAUACGGAUAUUAGAGGAGAAGCGGGAGACGGCGCCAAAUAUGGUUGCAUUCUAUAAGAAAACACAUUGAUCAAAACGGAAGGAAAAAUUCAUCAAUGCAUCAACUGAACACAAUUACAAUCUAAUGGUGGAGAGGUUAGGUGAAAAAGAGUCCAAAGAGGAUGUUGAAGAAGUGGCUGAGACUAUCUUCAAAGAUGUCUUGGGACACAGAUCUGGGUACGCAGUAGGGAUGGGGCACAUGGUCAUUCCGGACCCCUCUCCCUUAAUGAAGAAGAGUAGAGCAUUUAUUCGUCUAUCGAAAGAGAAUCAACGGAACAAGAGUGAUGCAGAAAUGUACAAGAGCAAACUAGAUGCUAUGAUGACUGAUAUUGAAGCGUUGAAGAAGAAUUUUUCUGAGCAUGAGAAAAUUGGAGCACUGAGUUAGAGGGAGGUAGUGAGUCUCAUAGAGAAACUCAGCGAGAUGCUUAGGCAUCUCACAUGAUGGGGUUUUUUGUGGAGGCCAUUUUUGUGGGAUAUCUUUUUUGUGGGGAUUAGUUUUUGUGGAUUGUGGUAUACUUAUGUAACAAUCUAAUGGCCAUGGACUUAUGUCCCUCAAUUAAGGGUAUAGUUACUUUAAAAUUAUAGUUAGGGUAGAUAUCUAAAAAACUGGUAUUCAAAGGGAAGAUGCGAGGUUGACUUUUUGAGUUGUUGGUAGUCUUUGAUUAUUAUGAAAGGGUAAUUUCUAAAACAGACAUUGUAAAAAUAUUAAUGCUAAUUUUUGUGAUUUGCAUAAAGAUGCAAAACUAAGUGAAAAUGCUGAUAUUAUAGUC
This is a long non-coding RNA of Carya illinoinensis, 1268 nucleotides long. RefSeq lists it as uncharacterized. Lineage: Eukaryota; Viridiplantae; Streptophyta; Magnoliopsida; Fagales; Juglandaceae. The transcript has 5 exons. The record is from RefSeq and is a predicted model, not a curated record.